CCUACAUAUAUAUAUAUAUUAAGGGAAAUGUUGUUACAUGAAUCUCCUUCAACUCUUCCCAAAAUAUAAUGGGAUAUGCACCAGCACCAGCACAGCAGCAAACAUCAUAUGAUGAUCGUAUUCGCAUGCGCCGUGAAGAAAAAGGAAGCCUCUAUGCUUGUUUCUAUGCACUCUGUUGCUGCUUUUGCUGCUAUGAGAGUUGCAAGUGUUGCUCGGAACGCACCUGCUGUUGCUGUCCCUAGGUUGCCAAACUUCCAAAAGGCCUAUGCCGAGUUUACAUUUCAUCGCUGCUGUUGUAUGAAAUGAUGAUUUUGGGAGCCAUUAAUGAAUAAUCUUUAAAUACUUGCAAUAAAUUUGAGUUUUUGUUGUGACAUUGUUCAAGAACAUUUGAAUCCUUUAUUAAAGAAAGCAAGUGCUGCAGAACAAGCAGUAGGAGAAAUUUAGUGCCGAGAUCACUCGCAUGAUGAUAAUCAUGAUUUUCGCUAAUAAUACAUUUAUCAAUAACUAGUAGUCCAUGUUUC
Cicer arietinum (chickpea) is the source of this 521-nucleotide RNA transcript. RefSeq lists it as uncharacterized. The record is from RefSeq and is a predicted model, not a curated record. Lineage: Eukaryota; Viridiplantae; Streptophyta; Magnoliopsida; Fabales; Fabaceae.